AACCCAUGGUGAGGGCACACCCUCAUUAGCUCCUUGAACCUAUCCUAGAAUUCAUAUAAUCACUCUCAUUCUCUUUGAAUGAAAAUGGUUAUCUGACUCUUGAGUU
Dioscorea cayenensis subsp. rotundata (Guinea yam) is the source of this 106-nucleotide small nucleolar RNA. NCBI's taxonomy places the organism in Eukaryota, Viridiplantae, Streptophyta, Magnoliopsida, Dioscoreales, Dioscoreaceae. The record is from RefSeq and is a predicted model, not a curated record.